AUUUUGCCUUGCCCAUUGCAGACGGAAUCACCAGUGGAUAUGGAGGUGGACAGAGAGCAGCCCGUCCUUCUGACGUGCCAACCCAGCUGGAGACUCCCAGAAAUCCACCGUCUAUGUUCCGAUCCUUCCUGCAGUCUUACCUGUACGGGAAUGUGAGGCCCCGAUGGCCCACCAAGCAGCUUCUGCAGACAAAGUGGCUGGAGGGCACAACAGCAGCACCAGAACCUCUGCUGGCUCCCUCUCUUUCUGGACAAGAGGGUAAAGAAGAGGAAGUGGACAAUGAACCCGUGGCUGUUGUUGGAGCCGCAGAGCCUGAAGAAAUUAAAUCAGGCACAAACGUGACACCAGAACCUCUGCUGGCUCCCUCUGUUUCCGGACAAGACAUUAAAGAAGAGGAAGUGGACAAUGAACUUGUGGCUGUUGUUGGAGCUGCAGAGCCUGAAGAAAUUAAAUCAGUAAGUGCCAGAGUACAUUAGCAUUGCCU
Molecule: long non-coding RNA, 484 nt
Organism: Pseudopipra pipra
Lineage: Eukaryota; Metazoa; Chordata; Aves; Passeriformes; Pipridae
Exons: 4
Source: RefSeq, a predicted model, not a curated record